ACACUGGGACGAGGAAACUGAGCUCCGGGCACAGCUCAGCCCGUGGGAAUUGCCCAACUGGGCUGUCGCAAUGGGCUAGGAGGCCAGGGUCGGCCCUGCCGCUGGCUGCCAGGACCAGGCCUCCUGGCCACCCUAAGCGCCUAGAAUCUGGGGACAAUAGCGGCCAAGCAGUUAACAUCUGCUCUGCGAUGGCGGUAAAAAGGAAAGCAAAAUUUCGAUCUAUUUUUCUGGGAAGAGAGUAAGAGAUUUGGGCUGUCCCGGCAGGACCCGAGCUUUGCAACACACCGGUGUUCCUUUAAGUCCAAAAGAGGGCCGAGAAACCAGCUGGCCCACAGUUCACAGAACAUCCCAGCAGGAACCCGUACCCCUGUGGAGACUGCUGAGAAACUGGAGCCUAUCCAGGCCACGGCCACGGCCGGGGAUCAGCCCCAACCUACGGAGCCCAUUAACAGUCGCUACCUGGUAAUUUCUAAAGCACCCGCUGGGUGGGUGCGUGGUCCACGGGGGGCCACAAAAGCCAAGGACACAAGUUCACUGCCUGCAAGGAGCUUGCCCGUGGGAGAUAAAGCUGGUAACGGGCUCGACACCCAGGCAGCCCUUCCGGGAGGCGGAGAUGGGCUCCAGAAAUGAACAGGAUUCAGAGGCUGCAUCCAAGGACGGAGAGACCAAAGUCCUGGUUGCACCAUUUGGCAGCGUGUCGCCUGACCUCCAGGAGCCUGGGUGUCUUUGUCUUUUAAAUGGGAUUCACAGAGACCCUACCUCUUAGGGUUAGCGUGAGGGCAGAGGGAAAUAAGGGGAGUUCCCGUGGUGGCUCAGCAAUAAUGAACUUGGCUAAUAUCCCUAAGGACGAGCGUUCAAUCCUUGGCCUUGCUCAGGGGGUUAAAGAUCUGGUGUUGCUGUGAGUUGUGGUGUGGGUCACAGACAUGGCUUGGAUCCUGUGUUGCUGUAGCUGUGGUGUAGGCUGGACGCCGUAGAUCUGAUUCGACCCCUAGCCUGGGAACUUCCAUAUGCCUUGGGCGUGACCCUAAAAAGGAAAAAAAAAAAAAAAAAAAGGAAAUUCAGGAAAACAACAUGAAUGAACCUCAAAGACAUGACCCCAGUUGAAAGAGGGCAGGUGUGCAAAGUGGCACACGGAAUGGUUCUUUUCCUAGGAAGUGGCCAGAGCGUUAAGUAAAUCCCUAGAGAUGAGAAGCAGAUUAGUGGUUGCCAAGGGCCGGGGGAGGGGAAAGGGGUGUCUUUUUGGGGUGAUGACAAUAUGUUGGAACUAGAUAGGGGGUGAUUGCAUGGGAAUAGGUGAAAGGUCACGGGACAGUGCAUUUUAAAACGGUGCAUUUCGGAAUUCCCUGGUGGCCUAGCGAUUAAAAGAGGCAGAGUCCUUCAAUCCCCAGCCUGAGGUCGAGGCCAAAAACAUUAAAAUGAAAUCAAAUGGUUCAUUUUUUGGUAUGUGAAUGUCACCUCAAUUAAAAAAAUGUCUUGAAGGAAAUUUGUUUGCACAAACCUAGUGAAUGGGACACUCGCCAGGGCCAGACCCCAGACACUCUGCCUCCUGUCACCCUCCAGCCUGGGCUGAGUGAGCUGGGUCACCCUCUGUCCAGGCCUGGACACCCUCAGCCUGGCCGGUGGGGCCUAGCGGAGCCCAGACAUGGGGGCAGGGUGGGGGGCUGCCCCACACAGUUCGGGGAGAGGCCAGUGUCCCCAGGCUGCUGGGAGGACCAAGUUACAUCAGAGGUCGUGUGCGAGAUGCGUUACAAAGAGAGAGGGAUGAGCUCCAGGUGCACUGGCUGCACCUGCCAUGGAGCACCUGCCGUGGCGGGACGAGGGGAGCACGAGGGGAUGUGCGCAGCCAGGGAGCCCACAGGGGUCAAGGCAGAGUCCCCGCCUGGCCCAGACCCGGGGACAGUCAGCUCCUCUGCCCACCCCCACCCCCCUCCCUCUCCUGGCCUCCCUGGCUCCCCCUCAGAGUCCCAUCCUAAUCCUGCCAGGAGAGGGAGCCCAGGGCAGUGGGUCUCCGUCCUGUGUCCCCCCUGCAGGCAGCCAGGCCAGAGAGAGAGCUGUCCAGCCCGCAGCCACGGAGGAGGCGCCCGCCACCCAGCUGACAUGGGGGCGGGUCUCAGGCUUUCCCCACUGGGCCACCACUGCCAGGGCAGCCUCCUGGGCUUUGGGCCACCAGGCGGAAAGGAUAAAAAGAGGCCACAUGCCUCCUGCCACGUGGAGGCAUCCACGCACCAGGGGCAACACUGUCACACAGAACUCGGGUGCCAGAGGACCACGUGGGCAUUCAGCAGGGCGAGUUGGCAGGACCGACACCACUGCCUGUUGGGAUCCCAGGACUCGGGGAGGCCAUGCUGCCGAGGGUGCCCUAGCCGGCCCGGCCCAGGCUGGGAGCCACCAGUAUGAGACGCCACUUGACUGGCAAGAAACUCACCUUCCGAGGAACCUGCCAGUCUUCAAACUCAUAAAUGCCCUCCAGAGUUAGUGACCCCUGAACUACGGGCAGAUGUUAAGUGCCCAUAACCCUUUCCGGCUGGUGAUAACCCCGCGGCACUCUUGGCUUUUCUUGCGAUGGGUUUGCUGUUUUCUCCAAGGAGUGGGUUUCAUCAGAUCCGGGUGCCCAAGACCGUGGCAAGGACCCAGCCACGGAAGGAGGGGCUGGACGGCGGCUCACAGUCCCCUUGUGCAGCUCCAGCGCGGGGCAAAAUCCCGCACAGGCCUGCGGUGAGGCCUCGCAAACAAGCAGCAGCAUGAUCCUGCCGGCCAGCUCAGCCCCCAGCCUUGGCCCAGAGCGGCUCUGGCCGCCCCGCCUCUGGCUCCCCUCCUGCAGCCCAUGCCGACCGCCCGCCACCAGAGGCCUUGCCAGCCGCCGAGGCAGCCCCUUGCGUCCCGUCCCCAGAGCCCUCAGCAGCCCUGAAGUCAUUCUGCUCCAGGAUCUGCUCCGUGUUUAUGUCCUGCCUCGGUCUCCGGGGGGCCUGACGUGCUCCCUGCAGCUUGUCCCCAGCACCCAGCCCCCGCGGGAACAAGGACCCGAGACGGAAACGGCAAAAGCGCUGUGAGCAAGACACCUGCCCGCGGAUCCCAGCCCCGCUGCCAGCUAUCUUUCUCCAUCGCUUGGCCGGCCCGAGGAUCUCAAGAAUGGAAAGGGGUUUAGGGGGUCUGGAGACCACCCCACCACCCAAGAAAGGAGCCCGAGGUUAACUCCCACGUUCUCAGGAGAGCCGCCGACGUGUUGAUGCAAGCGCCAAAUAAUCGAAUUGCAGGUGGGGGUGGGGAGGAGAUAAUUGAAUAUCAGCGAGGGGCUGUUGUCAGGUCAGCCAGUUCCUGGCGUGUUCUCGUAUGUAUGUUUUCUGAGAGAGCCCCCAAAUAAAACAGUUCUAUUAUUUUAUGCC
Molecule: long non-coding RNA, 3383 nt
Filed under: Sus scrofa (pig)
Lineage: Eukaryota; Metazoa; Chordata; Mammalia; Artiodactyla; Suidae
Description: lncRNA (ENSSSCG00035009061.1, ENSSSCG00065007528.1)
Source: RNAcentral